CAAUAGCGUAUAUUAAAGUUGUUGCAGUUAAAAAGCUCGUAGUUGAAAUUCUGGUUGCUAAGGCCUGUUGUCUUCGGACGGAGGUUCUUACAGCCAUCCGCUUGUAAAUAUAUGUACACUCUUCGCUGAGUGGCUAUAUGAGCAAGCAUUUUACCUUGAGAAAAACAGAGUGUUCCAGGCAGGCUUGUCCGGAAUGCAUUAGCAUGGAAUAAUAGAAUAUGACUGAGGUCUAUUUAUUGGUUUAAGGCCACAGUAAUGAUUAAUAGGAACAGUCGGGGGCAUUAGUACUUGACAGUCAGAGGUGAAAUUCUUGGAUUUGUCAAAGACUAACUGAUGCGAAAGCGUUUGUCAAGGAUGUUUUCAUUAA
RNAcentral lists this ribosomal RNA (367 nucleotides) under uncultured eukaryote. RNAcentral describes it as "partial 18S ribosomal RNA". It matches the Rfam family "Eukaryotic small subunit ribosomal RNA", at positions 592 to 976 of the family's 1831-position model. The record is from RNAcentral.